RNAcentral lists this ribosomal RNA (415 nucleotides) under uncultured bacterium. RNAcentral describes it as "bacterial SSU rRNA". It matches the Rfam family "Bacterial small subunit ribosomal RNA", at positions 355 to 786 of the family's 1533-position model. The record is from RNAcentral.
UCGGGAAUAUUGCGCAAUGGAGGAAACUCUGACGCAGUGACGCCGCGUAUAGGAAGAAGGUUUUCGGAUUGUAAACUAUUGUCGUUAGGGAAGAUAAAAGACUGUACCUAAGGAGGAAGCCCCGGCUAACUAUGUGCAGCAGCCGCGGUAAUACAUAGGGGGCGAAGCGUUAUCCGGAAUUAUUGGGUGUAAAGGGUGCGUAGACGGAAGAACAAGUUGGUUGUGAAAUCCCUCGGCUCAACUGAGGAACUGCAACCAAAACUAUUCUCCUUGAGUGUCGGAGAGGAAAGUGGAAUUCCUAGUGUAGCGGUGAAAUGCGUAGAUAUUAGGAGGAACACCAGUGGCGAAGGCGACUUUCUGGACGAUAACUGACGUUGAGGCACGAAAGUGUGGGGAGCAAACAGGAUUAGAUACC